UACGUAGGACGCAAGCGUUAUCCGGAGUUACUGGGCGUAAAGGGCAGGCAGGCGGACCGAUAAGUUGGAUGUGAAAUCUCCCUGGCUUAACCGGGAGAGUGCAUUUGAGACUGUCGGUCUGGAGGGCAGCAGAGGAGCGUGGAAUUCCGGGUGGAGUGGUGAAAUGCGUAGAGAUCCGGAGGAACACCAGAGGCGAAAGCGGCGCUCUGGGCUGCACCUGACGCUGAACUACGAAAGCCAGGGGAGCGAACGGG
RNAcentral lists this ribosomal RNA (254 nucleotides) under uncultured bacterium. RNAcentral describes it as "partial 16S ribosomal RNA". It matches the Rfam family "Bacterial small subunit ribosomal RNA", at positions 524 to 776 of the family's 1533-position model. The record is from RNAcentral.